This 6947-nucleotide unclassified non-coding RNA is filed under the name Haliotis rufescens (red abalone). RNAcentral describes it as "vang-like protein 2, transcript variant X2". The record is from RNAcentral. Lineage: Eukaryota; Metazoa; Mollusca; Gastropoda; Lepetellida; Haliotidae.
UCUUGUCCCCCCUUUCUAUCAGUUUCCACGGACUAAAGGCACAUCAUACUGUGUUAUUUUCCAUGGAAUAAUUAUUCAUUUUCGUAGGCAUUCUCCAUGUUUCAGCAAUCAAUGUAACAGGGUAUAAUUUUGGGUAAAGUAAGCAUGAGUAAAGUUAAAAGAUCUUGACAAGUAAAUCAUCACAGAUUCUCCGAAGGCGGGAAACAGAAUAGCCAUAUUUGAAAACAUGGAGGCACUUUGUGUUGUCGGGUGAGGAAUAUGUUGAGGAUAUUAUCCAAGCAAUGACAGAGAAGCAGGAGGUUGAAAUAUAAACCUGUCAUUUUGUCACCCUAUUAGCAGUUGUCAAGUAAGCGGUAUCUAAGAUGGACGGAGCAGAGUCAGUACGGUCUGGUCGUAGUGACCGAUCUGAGCGGUCCCAUCGUAGCCAUGGCAGCCACCACCACCGUCACCGCCAGCAGAGCGGGCGACCAUCCAGUCACAGAGGUCGGAGCCGCGACCGAGGAGAACGCGACGACCGCUCGGUCACCAUCAAGACCCCGGGUCACAUGUCGGACGACUGCCAUGAGGAGGAACGCAUAGAAGUCCAAGUAAUUCCUCAGGAUGACAACUGGGGCGACAACACCACCGCCAUUACCGGCAACACAAGUGAGACCGGAUUCUCUAUGGAGGACAUGCAUAAAUUUUCGAAAGAAUUCGAGGACAAUGUUGGGUUUGACUGUACGCGAUAUGUAGGAUCGGCGUUAGCAGCUGUGCUCAGUAUAUUUGGCUUCAUUUCGCCAAUCGCGAUGGUGGUUCUACCCAAACUGGGAAUCGUAGACUGGAAUGUGCAACCUGACGGCACCCUUGUAGCAGCUUCAGAUCCCGACGAUAUGAAGUGUAAACCAGAGUGCGAGGGCCUUCUCAUCAGUUUUGCGUUUAAACUCAUCAUAUUAUUCGUAGGAACAUUUGCACUGUUUUUCCGUCAACCUAAAGCCACGAUGCCGAGAGUUUUUAUUUUCAGAGCCGUGGUGCUUUUCCUUGUGUUUGUGUUGACAUUCGCGUUCUGGCUGUUCUACGGUGUUCGUAUAUUCAAGGAGCGGGAGCAUAAGUACCACUCUAUAGUGCAGUUCUCGGUGUCGCUAGUCGACGGACUACUUUUCAUUCACUAUCUCGCCAUCAUCUUGUUGGAGGUGAGGCAGAUUCAGCCGCAGUACGUCAUCAACGUGACGCGGUCGCCGGACGGGGAGAGUCACUCGUACACGAUGGGCGUGUUGAGCAUUCAGAGGGCAGCUGUCUGGGUGCUGGAGCAGUAUUUGAAGGAUUUCCAGUCGUACAAUCCGUAUUUGGAGAACGCCACCCGCCGCCCGGCCAAGCUUACAGGGUUCAAAGUGUACGAUGUGGACGGAGGCGCUAAUCAGGCCAAUCAACAGGGCCGAUCACGGGCUGUGUUUGCAGCCGCGGCUCGCCGGAGGGAUGCUAGUCAUAACGAUCGGUUCUACGAGGAACAGGAGUACGAGAGGAGGGUGCGGAAACGUCGAGCGAGGCUGCUGGUUGCAGCAGAGGAGGCGUUCACACACAUCAAGAGGAUGCAGGACGAACAAGGUCCUGCCAUCCCCAUGGACCCGCAGGAGGCCGCCCAGGCCGUCUUCCCCUCCAUGGCGCGGGCGCUGCAGAAGUUCUUGCGGGUGACCCGUCAGCAGCCGCGCUACACCAUGGAGUCGGUGCUCAACCAUCUUGCCACCUGCAUCGCCCACGACAUGAGCCCUCGGUCAUUCAUCGAGAGAUACCUCACACAGGGGGUCGUCAUCAUGAACGAAAAAUCGUACAAAUCCACGGAACGCUGGGUGCUAGUGUGUGAUCAGCUGGUCACAAGGGAGGUGGAACACGGGUCGUUGUUUCAGCUGCGGAGCGGGGAUGUUUCGUUGUUGUGUUCGAUCCGUAAGAUCCCACAUUUCAGUCUCACUGAAGAGGUCAUCGACCCCAAAAAUAACAAAUUUGUGCUGCGGUUAAACUCUGAAACGUCCGUAUAGUGAAGUGUUGUGAUCUCUCAUUGGCUGGCAGCAUUGUCAUGUGACCUUGCAUUAUGUUAAGUGAAUGAUCAUUGGUUGUGUGGUUGUCAUGUGGCCAUUGUGGGUCGACUUAUAGCGUUUGCGUCGAUGCGGGAACAAAGUCACAACAUGAUUGGUCGAACUUCGGGUGAUCUCAGCGUGUGGAUCAUGUGACAGGACACUCAAGUCAUGUGACACCGUGACCAGGACAUCGUCAAGAGAGAAGGAACCUUAUGUUGUGAAUCACGGGUGGAUGUGGUUUAACCCUUUAGAUUCUAAAACAACAUGAAUAUGAGCUUGUCGCGUUGAUCGUCUAAUGAGUGAUUGUCUCCCCUGAGCAGGUACAACUUAUGGUUUUCAUAAAGUUCACUAACUCAUUGUCCAUGAACUGUUGAAGGUGUUGAACCUGUUUGUGUGGAAGGCCAAAAAAAUAAAAUAUGUGUUUCCUGUUUCACCCUGACCAAAUAUAGGCGUGGUCGGUCAGGUUGGUUUUUUUAAAUUUUAACUUUUUUUAAUCUAUAGCUAUUGAACAAAUUUACACUUCUUUCAUAAAAUACAGACAAUGUCAGGAUAGUAUUAAUACUUAUGGUGCGACUCGAGAAAAAUAAGAAAAGAGUUUUGGGUCAAGGCCACAUUUGGGUUAGGGUCAAGGUCAAGGUCAGGGUUAGUGGGGCAACAGGAAAUGCAUAUAUUGUAUUUGUGGCUAGAGUGUGAGUGUGUUGCACGGACUUGUGGCUGUUGCGUAUACUGCUGUAGAAUCUGUCUGUACAGUGUGAAACAGACGAUAUUCACCAUACACUAUAUCACACACGGAUGUUGCCAUACUUUCAGUGAACUAUUCUCUACUGUGUAAAUUGAUGUCUUUUCUCUGGCUGCUAUUAUCAUUUCAGUUUGGUAUGAGAAAUAUGUUGACACUUCUUCCGUGUAUGUUCGAUUUUGUAAAAUGGAGCAGAUGUGGAGAUGUGACAGCAUUUGCAGUUAUGGUGAUACGUGUCGUAUUGCAUGGCAUUGUUCACGUCAUACCACGCAUUCAGCUGGUGUUGCUGCCAUUGUUUCUUACUGAGGUAGUUUCCUUUUGGUACGAGUCUCCACAGACAUUUAUUAUAGUAGAAUAAUCUGAGUGUUUCCCAUAUACAAACCUGGAAUCUCAUCCUAAAAUAAAAUAUUAUGCCUUUUGUUUCAUAAAAUGUAGCAUUCAAGAAAAGUUGAAAUGAAAUCUCACCAAGGUAGAAGUUUAAAUUUGAUAAACCUUGACAUGUUGCAUAAGUCCACACAUCUACAAAUCAAUUUAUGUUUUACGGUUGAAUUUAUCAAUAACAUGUAAGUAAAAAGUGUCAGUGCUUAAACAAAGUUGCUUUAAGUUUAAGUGUUAGCGUGUUUUAUUUUUGAAGGAUAGGUAUUGUUCAAUUGUAUACUUCCCAAGUCUCCAAUGUUUUCUCAAGACUCCAAGCUGCAGGGUGUACAAAUGUUGUGAGUUUGUCUGAAGUGAUAGCGAGUAGCACCACAUGUGCCGUAGACUCCUGUUGCCAUGGAGACUUCUCAAAUACUUAAAACAAAUAAUGUCAAUUUUUGUGUGAGCAAAUAUGCAGUUUUUUUUCAAUCCCAAUUGACCAAACUUUAUUGAUGCAUAAUUUAGUCCACUGCAUUGUAAAUAACUAUAAAAUACAUCAACCUAGGAUCCUAGCACAACACCCUUCAUUGUUCCUUUGACCUGUGAAGUUUUGUUGUAAGUUUGGAUGGCUCGCAUGGAUGCAAUUUGUGAAGUCUAUUUUCUGUUGUAAUUUGGCUAAACAGCAUUCACGUUCCACUCAGUGCAUCUACAGUAGAGACAGAGUUAUCGCCCUUUGAUUACAUCGUCACAUUCUGCCUUGACAUGUCUCAGGAUACAUCAAUGUCUGUCGCACGUCGUCGGCCAUCUUUCACGGACCAAUGUUUGAACGUUCAACCAAAGAGUCAGGAAGGCUUGUGUUUGCUGUAUGAAUGUUGCACAAAUUCAUUUUUAGAAAUCAAUAUUUUAGUCUCAUUUCAAUCAUGUGAUGAUAACGGGUGAUUGUCUUUGAAGAAAAAAGAAUCCUCGCACAUGUUUUAUAGACGUGCAUAACUGAUCAGACGUAAAUCAAAGAGGCAGAUGACAAGUUGCCAUGGUUACUGCCAUGUAUUAUGAUUAUUGUUGCCAAAGUUGCUGUCAACUACGGAAUAAGAUUAAAUUAAAUUUGAUUAACACUAGCAAGUUAUCUAUCGAUGUCCUGUGAUGGUAGGGUAUAUAUGUCUGUCAAUAACACUAUCUGCUUCACAAGUAGUUCUCUGGUUAUUUCCAUGUAAAUUUCUUAAUCUACUUAAUGAUAAAAGGGUAUUCACGGUAACAUGUAUGCUUAAAAAAUAGUUAAUUAAGUUACAAACAUCUCUCAAAACCUGAUCCAAUUAAAUUCAAUGUUUGAUAGGUGUUUUCUGUCAAAUUAUUUGAAGAUAUUUUGUUAUUUCACGUUAAAAAGGUGAACUUGUCUUCUUUAAAAAAAUCAAAACUUUUUUCUUUUCUGAUUUUUCUAUUCAGUAUAUGGGAGGAAAUCAAUUGUCUGUACAGCAAUCAAAUAAUUCGACCACCUGUGUAUGAUUGUAUUGGCUGAUUGUCUCGGAUGUUUCAACCAAUCAGAACUCAACAGGGAUGUUUCAACCAAUCGGAAAUCAGCAGUAUGCACACUUGAAAUAGUGCUGUUUUAUUUACAUUAUUUUGUAAUGAUUGAAACAUUGAAUCGUACAGCUUCUGAUUGGCUGAGUUUGUAAAUGCCAUGAAUAUGCGAAUAUGCUGUUGUACAGUGUAGUAGCAAGACUGUUUAUAUACUUAGUAGAGUAGUUGUUCAGACAUUAGUACCGUGUUCGACCAAUGAGUGCCUGUCCCAGGUGACGAGGAAACGGUUGGCUUCUUGUACUGGCAGGGAUGCAUGUUCAGUUGUAGGCAGGGUGUUUAUUUACACCUGUUUUUUAUUUCUUUUGCGGAUCCUCUGACCUAAAUAUUGACAAAAUUGGGGGGGGGGGGGGGGAUUUUUUCAUUCAAAAAUAAUUAAUUUAUCACUGCUGGGCUAAAUGAAUUUUAUAUAGGAAUUAUGAAAAUGUAUUCCUCGAAUUUUGCAUUGCAGUAAUGAGAUGUCUUUGUCACCAAAACUUGGUACGCUGCAGAAGGAAUAAUUUAUGUUACAAUGCAGUGUUGAUAGUUAUGAGUAUUAACUCCAGCCUUGUCCACGUCCCUUAUGUCAGAAUUCUUUUUUUUCCUUCCCCCCUUCCGAAAUGAAUUAUUUGGGGGAAAAUUUGUAAACCCAAAAAUAAAAAAAGGCCUAACUUUCAAAAUGGUAGUUUUACAACUAGUAAUGCUUCGUGUUUCUCAAUCAGAAGUUCACACAAAUGUGUACUGAUUAUUUGGCAAAUACCUUCAGCAGGAAUCUUGCCUUCAUCACUGUAUGGGGGCGGUGGGGUAGCCUAGUGGUUAAAGCUUUCGCUCGUCACGCCGAAGACCCGGGUUCGAAUCCCGACAUGGGUACAAUGCGUGAAGCCCAUUUCUGGUGUCCCCCGCCGUGAUAUUGCUGUAAUAUUGCUAAAAGCGGCUUAAGACCAAAACUCACUCACUCACUCAUCACUGUAUGUUCCAUGUAAAGAUUGACUGGACCUGUUGGCAUAAAGUGAUGCUGCUGAAUGGGACAAGGGUCAGGCACUUAUUAGGUUGAAUACGGUAUCAGGAGCAUAGUCAUAUCAACUUUUAUUUAUAUUUUGUACAAUUUUGCAACUAUUUUCUACACUGAUAAUUUAUUUUGCCUUUACAGCUUCAACACUACUGUUGCCCUGAAUGUUGAUUAUCUGUAAAUAAGCCCAUAUGCUUACAGAAUAAUUUGCCUUGCAGGAAGGGUUGAAAUACGAAGGGAAAUAUGAAAAUGAAAGAUCUGUGUCGAAAACUUUAGAACGAUGUAUAGGUAGUCUAGACCUAGAAACUUGUUUCAGUAUUUUCACAUUUUGAGAUGAACUUCAUAAAAUUUGUUGGAAGAAUCUCUGUUUACAAGAUGUAACUUAAUUUACAAGAUUUUGGAGACCCUCGUUGUUUGGUUGCUGUUAUUUCUCCUUCAGUUCAGCUGUAUUUCAUGACAAGCCCUGCUGGAGCGAGGCCGAGUGCAUCAUCUCAAACACCCUCAGGAAUCUAGGGAAUGAGAAAUUCAAAAUGGUAAAUGGGAAGAAUUCCCAAAACAAUAUUAUCAUUGCCAAUGUUUUCAAUUUAGAACUCUGAAACAUUGGAUCCAGUAAAUUUGGAUCUGCAAAAAAAAAAAGUUUUAAAAGAACAAAACCCGCCAUCUUUGAAUGUCCUUCCCAAGGCUUGUCUGGCCCCAGCAGGUGCUUGUCCUGGAACCUUGUCAGGCUCCAGCAGGUGCUUGUCCUGGAACCUUGUCAGGCUCCAGCAGGUGCUUGUCCUGGAACCUUGUCAGACUCCAGCAGGUGCUUGUCCUGGAACCUUGUCGGGCUCCAGCAGGUGCUUGUCCUGGAACCUUGUCGGGCUCCAGCAGGUGCUUGUCCUGGAACCUUGUCAGACUCCAGCAGGUGCUUGUCCUGGAACCUUGUCAGACUCCAGCAGGUGCUUGUCCUGGAACCUUGUCAGACUCCAGCAGGUGCUUGUCCUGGAACCUUGUCGGGCUCCAGCAGGUGCUUGUCCUGGAACCUUGUCGGACUCCAGCAGGUGCUUGUCCUGGAACCUUGUCAGACUCCAACAGGUGCUUGUCCUGGAACCUUGUCAGGCUCCAACAGGUGCUUGUCGGAUGUGAUGCUCCUCCUCCAGUAUUUUGUAUUGCCCAUCGCCAUCAUUUGUACAAGCUUCAUCCUCAGUUCAUCUUUUAUAGUCAAAGUUUUGUACAUAAGUUUAUGGCCAAUAAAUACUUCACAAACAUA